RNAcentral lists this long non-coding RNA (1994 nucleotides) under Coffea arabica (coffee). Its description in RNAcentral is "long non-coding RNA (CARA_LNC000122)". Lineage: Eukaryota; Viridiplantae; Streptophyta; Magnoliopsida; Gentianales; Rubiaceae. The record is from RNAcentral.
UCAUAGACAUGGACUAGUCCCAACGCUAGACCCUUAGGGACCUCUCUCGCUAGAUCAUGUUGUAUGAUUAUCAUUUCAUCUCAUGCAUAUUUUCACUUUUUUAGGGUUUUACCAUGUUGCAUGACACUUUUCUUAUAUAUGUACAUCCCCUAUCCCGUAUUCCCUCUUAUAUACAUAUCCCUUAUUUAUAUUCUCUUUUAUCAAUCCUAUGCAUGGUACAUAACAUUAGAUUUGUAUUUCAUUUAAGAAUUAGAAUUAGGGUAGCACAUUGCUUGAUUAGAUUAGGAAAAAUCCUUGGAUAUGGAUAUGACGAGUUUGGCUUUUCUAACCUUAGCACGCUUGUAUUCCCUCUAUUAAAGGGAACAUUGAAAGCCAACGAACAUUAGUCCCCCGUACCCGACAUGACGCAUUCCUUUAGGUCAUACACAUUUGUAUAUUAUUAUUUCUUUACUUUUUCUUUCGAGUCUCAUGACUUGCAUUAUUCGUGACUUCUUCGAAGAGUCUUUAUUGGACGUCACAAUUAAUGUGAUUGGUACCAAAUAAGAUUUGAAGAUACAUUUUGACCCCCCGAUACCCUCCUAGGUCUAGGGUUCGCAUUCAUAUAGUACAUUCCAAAUGUGAUAAAUUCUUUGGUUAAAACAAGAAAAUCUUUGACUAAAUCACGCAACUAGCCUUGGCUAGGUCAAAGGGGUGCCUUGGAUUUCAUCCUUGCCUUCCCCUUCGUCAAAUGUGACUCCCGAACCUUUUUUUCGAUUUACGUAGACUAGCAGUCGUUUAAAAGGGGUUUUUCCACUUUUCCCUUUGAAAACUCAUUUUAGGUGACUUGGUACACCUUAACUCUAUACCAAGUGGCGACUCCAUUUUUCAUUCGAUAAACCCUUUUUAAACUAUAUUUUGGGUCAAAUCGUUGCAUUUUCAUGUCUCAUUUAGACCCAUAUUUUUCCAUUUUCUUUUUCAAAUAAAAAUUCACUGUUUUUUAAACAUUUAUUUUUUCUUAUAAAAAAUGGGCGCGACAAAGAUAUUGGGGUGGUCUUCCAGAUCAACACGUAUUGCCAAUACUUGAGAGAGUUCUUUAGUAUCUCUUUGUAUCUUUCCUGACUAUGGGAUACCAGGGAAAAGCUAUUUUUGUGGUACUAGAAAAUAUGACAAAUAGAAUAGUGUGACUUGGGGAUCAUAACCUUAUUUAUAGAUAACAAUUCUCUUACCCUUGGAUCCCUAUUUCAGUCCAUCAUAGAAAUAGACAAUAUCUUUAAGUCUCUACACAUUAAAGAUCAAUACCCUAUUAGAUACAUUAAGUCCAAACCAUAUUUGAUCACUUUAAUUGGACUUAACCUUAUAUGACAGUUUGCAACUCAUAAUUAUUCACAUAUAAGUCAGCGUUGGAUUAAGAUCCAACAUACUGCUCUUUGCAAAUGUUUUGCAUGCAAGACUUGCAUGAUUUCCAUUCUCCAUGGGGAAUCCAGAUAAGUUCUGUUGAUGCAAAAACUGCUUAAAUAAGCCGAUGGUGGGAGUCAUAUCAGCUAAAGGAUUGUAAAUGCACAACUACCAAAUGAUUAUCAAGAAUUUGGUUAAUUGGCAAUCAAUGAUCUUUCACAAAAUUUACCAUUCCAGUUUAGUGAUCAUCAUCCUUGAAUUUCUUUUGAGAUUUGAAAAGUCAUUAAUCCAAGGUUAAUGAAGAUUUGUUCAUGAGAAAUUAGUUGGUUAUCAAUAAUAGUAUCAAUAAAAGCAAACAAACCUGUGGUAUUGGAAUCAAAAUUCUUUAUCACCACAACAGAACACACGCGUACAUCCAAUAAUCAUGACUGGAAAAAAAAAACCCAAAUACUUGAGAAACUAAACAAAUUUGUACUUACUUAGGGCUGAUAUGUUGACUUGGGACAAAAUUUGUUUCUCUGAUUCAGUCCUGUAGUUCCCAAGGAACGUUAUAUAUGGCGACUACAAUCUGCAGUUUCUGCAGAGUUUGGAAUUUUAAUUUUAAACAUUAAUCUCUUUUG